GAUGAACGCUGGCGGCGUGCCUAAUACAUGCAAGUCGAGCGAACAGACGAGGAGCUUGCUCCUCUGACGUUAGCGGCGGACGGGUGAGUAACACGUGGAUAACCGACCUAUAAGACUGGGAUAACUUCGGGAAACCGGAGCUAAUACCGGAUAAUAUAUUGAACCGCAUGGUUCAAUAGUGAAAGACGGUUUUGCUGUCACUUAUAGAUGGAUCCGCGCCGCAUUAGCUAGUUGGUAAGGUAACGGCUUACCAAGGCAACGAUGCGUAGCCGACCUGAGAGGGUGAUCGGCCACACUGGAACUGAGACACGGUCCAGACUCCUACGGGAGGCAGCAGUAGGGAAUCUUCCGCAAUGGGCGAAAGCCUGACGGAGCAACGCCGCGUGAGUGAUGAAGGUCUUCGGAUCGUAAAACUCUGUUAUUAGGGAAGAACAGAUGUGUAAGUAACUAUGCACGUCUUGACGGUACCUAAUCAGAAAGCCACGGCUAACUACGUG
RNAcentral lists this ribosomal RNA (497 nucleotides) under uncultured bacterium. Its description in RNAcentral is "partial 16S ribosomal RNA". It matches the Rfam family "Bacterial small subunit ribosomal RNA", at positions 28 to 507 of the family's 1533-position model. The record is from RNAcentral.